Ostrinia nubilalis (European corn borer) is the source of this 1843-nucleotide long non-coding RNA. RefSeq lists it as uncharacterized. The transcript is spliced from 2 exons. The record is from RefSeq and is a predicted model, not a curated record. NCBI's taxonomy places the organism in Eukaryota, Metazoa, Arthropoda, Insecta, Lepidoptera, Crambidae.
CCGAUGGAGCAGCAAGGUGAAGGGAGCAUCUAGAAUGAUAUACCUAGAACGUGCGCCACGAUAUAAUCUUAUCGUCGAUGUCAGACGACAAAUGUAUGGGCUUAUCGCCUAAAACACGAUCGGUUCUUGAGCAAGACCAAGCGCGCCGACAAGUCGGGCCGCAAGCGCGACCACCACGACCGCCACGACCACCACAACAAGAAGCGACGCGACUAGCAGAGGAUAAUAACUGGAUGGUGUACAGAAUCAUUGUUUGCCUUAUCGUCUCGCACAACGUUUGUUACUUUAUUCAUAAGUGUUUCUUUAUAAAUUUGAAAGCGUGUUACAAAUUCUAGGAAUUGAAAGACAGUAUAAGAUAGACGUUAAAGAAUUAUUUACUCAUUCGUAAAAAGGUAAAUGAGUAAAGAUAAAGAAAUGUCCUAAAGAGUUAAUUGCAGUGUGACUUGAUGGUAUUUUUUUUCCUAACGGGUAACAAACAGUGUUACUCGUUUUGGUGUGACUUUUUGGGAACAAGUAAAAAUUUAAACAAUGACAGCACAUUUUAGAACAGUUAGAUGAUGUUUUUUGGAAUAAACAAAUUACAAAAUGUUAUGAAACUUUGUAAUAAGGAUAAACUUAUUUCAAUUGAAGGUAUUCGAUAUUUAACUAAUAUUGUAUUCAAUAAUUUAUUUAGAAUACGCUUAUCAAUAAAAAUGACAUAAACUGCAUGAGGCGAAGGUUUAAGGUUAUGAUAAAAUAAGAAUGACGUUAAUAAAUCCAAGUUUCUUUAGACAUAGUUAAUUAAUUUUAAUUUAAAGAACUGUGCAGUCUUUUACAUGCCUUGUUAAUUGUAAAUAUUUGUUUCUUAAGAUUUUCUCUGAAAAAAUGUAUUGUUCAUUUUCCUAAACUCCAUUACACCAUAACGGCUGACAGCACUCAACUGUACUACAAUACAUUAAUAAUUACAAUUUAUUACAAGCUACUAUUACAGUUACUAUUUUAUUGUUGCUAACGUACAGAACAAUAAUGGAGUGAGCGGAAUGAAAUUGUGAAUGGUAGGUUGUUUUUCCUUAGGAUAUAAUUAAAUGUAUAGUAGGUAUAUGAUGUCUAGGUAUUUUGUACUAUAUGCGUUUCAGCUGAAAAGAGCUUGUAAGAAUAAUUUUAGUUAAUAAAGUUAUGUGUAAUCAAUAUUGUAUUUUAUUGCUCAACUUUUCCUAUAAAAGUGUAAAUUCCCAUAGCAAUUUGUAGUGUGUCAGUGGUUUUUUAAUAAAAAGGCAGGUUUACAUUUUGACAAUAUUUAUUGGAAUAACAAUACUUCGUAACAUACAUAAAUGUGAAAAAUAUGCGAAAAUUAAUACGAGAAGGCUGUACGCGCGCCACCAACUAUCUAGGCAGGCGACAACUACUUUUGGACACCCGUUGGACAUACAAAAAUACGCUUCUACGGUGACAACAAAAAUUGUGAACCUUCAUUGGAAUCCUAGGCCAAUACUCAAGUGUCACACCGUGACGAAGGACACCACACACCAAAAACGUUGCUAAAAAUAUACAUCUUCAUUAAAUUUCAAUAAGUGCGUUAGUGUCAUCAAAACCCAUAGUGAGAAGGCUGAUCUGAACACAAGUUUUCCAUACAAAACGUCGUUACAGUGUAAUAAAUACUGAACUUGAAUAGUUAAUAAUUUAAGGAGAUAAAAAUGUUAAAUUUAUUACAGUAUAUGCCAGCAUGAUGUACUAGUAUUAUUUAUUAUGACGUAUAUUGGAAUAUGACACCACCCAUCGACUGUUGUUACGUGCAGUUUUACAGUCAGCGUCAAAAAGUUCGUGACACCUAAAGUGGCCAGAAAGUCAACACAACCUUAUUCCA